AGCAAGUUUGCUCCCAAGAAACUAAAUGUACAGUGCCAUUGAAGACAUGGUAUCUGCCUGUCAUGCUCUUGAAUAAGAAAACAGUCUUCAGCAGUCAGGCACGCUUCACAUAUGAAAUCAUAAGAGCCAUGCUAUGGUAAACAUGAGAUUCUUUCCCGUUCUGUGAUUUCCCUUCUUGGGAGACUGCAGCAUGAAUGCAGCUUUUUUCAGAGAAACAUAGCUUCAGAAACUUAUGAGGAGAACAGCGCCAACCAUCUGUCUGAGAAUGGUUUGGUGCAAGGCCGAGUUCUUAUGAAGACCAAAGAAAACUUUGGGGAGUCCUACUUUCCUGGAAGAGAGCUGUGCACUAUUUUUCACAGUCUGCUGAAGCUGGUCACAGCCUCCGGAAGGCCUAAUCUACGCCCUUUACCGGAAAACCUCUAGUAUCCUGGGCACCUGCUGCUCUCCAGCAAGGACGCAUAAGAGCUUCAAAUCUGCUUGUCUCUCCUGCAGUUUUAUAAACCAGAUUUUACACCAAAACAAGACAAAAGAGUUUGAGGUAAAUCGUACAACGGGAUUCAAACUUCUGGAUGUGAAGCUGAGCCUAUGAACGUUUCAAGAGCCAGCGAAUAUGACGUCCACGAUGACUGACAACCUCCCGUUGCGCAUCGGUGACGCGACCUACGUGUCAUUCAGUACCCGGCGUGGGCUUAACUUGACAACAGAGAAGGUGAUUUAUUUUGCAUGGUUGCUUUGUGCAUUUUUUGUUUGUCGGAAUAUGUGUAUAGUCCUACCAGUUGUGGCGCUGUACUUCUGGCCGAGUUUGCGGUCUGUUUUUUAUUACUUGUUUGUUAGAACGUCAGUUAGAAAAAGUGUAUAACUCGGACAUGAAUGCAGCGAUGCGAUGACUGACUAACUCGAACACUUGGCUUUGCUGGGGACUUGAAAAUUGCCAGACGUACGGACACAUUGCUGGUACAAUGAAUAUUUUUCCAAAGCUGGAAAAAAUUAUCAAAAGCAAACCCAAUCAAAAACCACAUCACCUGCUCCACUCAGGUGCCUUGAACAUCUCUGGAGACAGAGCCGUCAUCCCGUGCGCGUGCCACACCGUGCCGAGUAAAAAGUUCCUGCCUCCCGAUGCCUAACCUAAAUCUCCCCUCCCGUAGUUUAAAGCUAUUCCGUUUUCACCUGUCUCUAUCAGACUGUAGCAGAAAUGCUAAGUCAGGGCUAACCAGUGAUUGAGCACCUGGUGGGAAGGCGGGGCCAACCCAGGUGCACGCAAUGCCGCCAAGUGACUGGAAGGGGUGGAGCCAGGAUCCACCCCUUCCCAGACCUCAUUUAAGGGUUGGCAGUGGAAGUAAGGGCACUUCUCUGGAGAUCCUGGUGUACCAGUGACUUUCUGAAGGUAAGCAGCUUUGUUUGGUUUUUUGUUUGUUUGUAUUUGUGGCUGUGGCAGCUCCUGUUUUUGGUUUGUCCUCCUUUGCUGCAGCCUAGGACUCUGCCACCCUGCUAUUAUUGCUGUUCUUUCAAUUGUGUUCCAGCAUUACACAGACAGCCCUGAAAGCUGGCAUUCGUCCUGAUUAUAGUUUCCCUUCAAGCGCUAGAAGCCCACGGUGAGGGGUGGGCUUUUCUUCACUGUGAAAAACAAACCCAAUUUCCUCAUCUUUUUUGUAUAGGAAACGUGCUGCAGCCCUUUGCUCAUGUUUGUGGCCUUGCUCUGAACCUGCUCCAGCAGGUCUGCUUUUUUUUUUUUUUUCCUCUAUUUAUUGUGUUUCCCCUGCCCUCCUUUCUCCUCCUUUUCUCUCUUUUUUUUCCCCUGGCAGGCCGUUGCUCUGUCUCGUGCUGGUUUCCUGCCUUCUGAGCUCGGUUUCCACUGAUGGGGGCUGGAGAACUCUUGUGCUAUCAGAAAGGCAUCUUUAAGGAGUUCCUUUGAUGCUCCUUCAUAAUUCAUCAUUUCCGGGAAAGAAAACCACAGAUACACGUGGAAUUCUUCUGAAAAUCUAGCCUGUUUCUGCAGGUGGGCCUUAUUAACGGUGUUAAUCUGGUGUGCGGUGAAUUAACAUAAAAUAAGACUUCUCCCAGAACAGGAUGCACUGCGGCAUUAACAUCUAGUCCCACCUUGAAGGGUGUUUUCCUAGAUAUUUUUCUUCUUAGGAAAAUUAGUGAAAUACUCUGAGUUGAAGUAUAGCCAUUGCAGGUCUACGUCUGGAGAUCGGAUUGGUUGGAAGCUAGUUAGUUCCUGAGGUUAAGGCAAUUCCAUUUUUUUCCCCAGAGGUAGGUGUUUGCCUCGUCUGGGAACCCAGCAAAUUCUUCCCGCAGCUUUUUUAAGCGGGACCUCAGAUUAUGCCUUUUCUCUUAGCGGAACUAAUUGAAAAGAGGGUUCGGCAAGCUAGACAGCGAGUUCAGGCCUGUGCUCUUACGGUUGACGGUCUUACUCGAUCAGACUACAGUUAAAAGCAGAACAGUCAAGAAGCUUGUCAGCCCGUCCGUCCCCACAGCCAUCUUCCCCGGCGGUACCACCCGGCGAGCUCAGUUUUCUUCCCCGGAUUUCGUUUGUCUCGUUCCCUUGCGCUUUGCUAGGCUAGCGAUGUUUGCGGGAUCUCCGCUCUGGGGGGGCGUACUGAGAAAGACAAGCAAUUCCGCUUUUCUCCGGGAAGCAGCUCCGUCUGACCUCUUAAGGCCGGUGCGUCUCUGUGCUCUGCAUGGCUCGUGUUGUAAGCACUAACAUUUGCCUGACUGCAAGGGAUCUGCCAAGUCAGGGCCAGAACCGCUGAUUGGGCACCUGGAAGAAGAGGCCAGGUCAGGCUGGGGAGCACAGGUGAGGGCGAUUCACCUGAGGGAAGGGAAGGCAUGGAGCCGGGCUCCACCCCUCUUAAACCUCAUUUAAGGGCUGACUGCCACCGAGGAAGGAUCUCUUCCAGGCGAUCCCUCCUCUGUGGAGUUCUUCCGCGAGCCUAGCUCUUCAGAGACGGGUGAGCAUUACUGUGUUUGUGACAUCUUCUCAUUGCUCUGGUCCCGGUGCAGUUACCUAGAUGAAAUCUGAAGCCUCGCUCUUUCCUUUCUCUUCCUCCUCCUACUGCCGUUUCCGGUUGUGUCGAGUACUUACGAACCCACGAACCGCCGAGAAAGGCUAGAUAGGGUAAGGAAGCGUACAGGAGCUCCUGUUGCCCUUGUAUGGUUUAGUAUUAUUUUCAUUUCUUGAAAAACAUAGCAAAACAUACCCCUUAGUUGGAGGUCCACUGAAUAGGUCUGGGGGGAGGAAUUUGCCUCCUCCGCUCGGUAAGCUGCGUAGAUGUGGAAGAGAGAGGACUACGGCUAUUAGGACCGCACGCGAGCGUAGAAACUGGAGCUUAGAGCUUCCUCGAGUGACAAGGGGAAGGUGUGCUCUACUAAAACCGCGACGGAACAAAGGUCCGAUUAUUCAAUUUGCUCACAGUUAAAUGCUGUUCAUUGUUGACAAGCUUACGUGAAUUAAGGAUUAGGGAUUUUGUUUCUGAUUUGUUGCGAAAACAAGCAAAAAAAGACAUCCUUUUUUCUCUUCACUGAUGGAGGGGAGGAAUACGCUCAUAGCGCCUGGGACUCUGGCUAAAGUGAGGGUAAGGAGAGCUCACGCUCGCCUUUAUAAUAAGGAAAGGCAUUUCAAAGACUGGUACGUACAUUGGAAGCCCUCUUCUGAGCAUAGUUACCCAGGAAAUAGAUUCCGGACCGUGAGAGGGGGUUUUGGGGUAGCUUCAGGCUUUAUAGCCGCGCACUGCACUUCUUGCUCAGCCAAUCUGGAUAUUAACGCUAGGAUACAUAGUACUAAUGUUACUGAGCCAAGAAUGUGAGCUCCAGAAUGACUGGGAGUGUAACAGUUAAAAAUAUCCCCCUCUGGAUGGGACAAAGUCUGUACUCAUACCUAUGGCUUUUUGUCUGAUUUAGGACAGAUGUUAUUUCUUUCCUCAAUUAGAGGGAUGCAUCCAUUAACUUUAACUGUCUACUAUGCCCUGAUUCCCUCGUUGCUCUAUCUUUUAACUAUUCCUACGAGUUUAUUCCCACUCGGAGCCAUCCCACCCCUUGAGAGAUCGCCCGUGUUGCAAAAGGGAGAUGUACUCACUGGUGGUUUAGUUUUGAGCGUGUAUUAUCUCUUUGAGUAGGUGGGCAGAGCUAGAGACCGCCUCCAGUGUCAGAAAACAGCCCCUCCUGUUUGUACAAGUUGUAAAACUACCAAACAGCUAAGUACUGACUGCCCCAUGCAAAAGAGGCUCUAAGCCUGUGUUAGUAUAGCCAGGCUCACAGGACUCGAGGAGACAGGCGCCUAUCAGAGUCCAGGGGCUUGUUGUCAGGGGAAGCUCCCUCUGCUAUUUCUUUAAAUGGUCAGGACACAGGAGUCCCAAGUGUACUUAGUAUGCUUGCUGAUUUCUCUAAAUUAGGAGGAGCUGCAGUCUGCUCCAGGGUAGAAAGGCUCUGCAGAGACAGCUGCUAUGAUUGCCAAGACCGUGAAGCACCUGGGGCUGGCCCACCCAGCUACAUAUACAGAAGGAGACAAGGCCAGAGAGCUGUCCCGGAGAAAGGAAUCCAGGGGCCACAGCAGUUGACAGCAAGUUAAGCUGGAAUGUGUGGCACGCACCAGCAGUCAAGGGGGGCCAACCACACCCCAGCACACCUCAGGAUCCCCCCUCCCCGUGGAGCAAAGGAAGGGACCAUCCUGCUCCAGUGUCACAUCCUCACUGUGCACAUUGUGUGUGGUUCUGGGUAACAUGGUAUGAAAGAAAAGAAUGACGUCAAAGUAUGCAAGGAAGGGCUCAAACACUCUCUCUCUCUCGCUAGCUGAACAGAGACUGUAGUGAGGUGGGGGUCACCUUCUUUUACCCCAUCGCUAUCUACAGGAUGGGAGGGAGCAGAGGCUCAGUGCCUUCCAGUCUUCUCUCCCAAAGACCAACCCCACCUCCUCACCUGUGUGCUUCUCCUGUAAGGAACGCAGCCAUCCACAACACCGUUCCAGUCAUGCAAGCUGUCCCGCCGCGUCUCCGUGAUGAGAACAAGAUCGCACUCCUGAAGUUUUAAGUAACAGGCACUAUGGGAGGAGAAAAAUACACGGUCCCGUCCCGCUCACUUCUACCACUGGAAGCACCCGCAAAACCCUCUCCUCGGGCUGCUCGGCAGCGGCUCCGCACCGAGCCUUCUUAAAAGGCCACCUGGUAGCCCGGCGGCGGCGCCGUGCUCGCCCCAAACAAACCGAAGCAGCCCUACGCUAACAUCAAGAGAGAGUUUACCUAGUGACUCCAAAACACUCACCGCUUCCACCACCUCACCGGUUCGGGAUGAAGAGAGGCUCUGCUGCAGCCUUCACUGAGCCCGCAAUAGGAAAAAACUUGUUUCAGCAGCCCUUCGCGUUGCUUCUUACUCCCUGCGGCACCGAGGCUGCAGGAAUACGGCCCCGUCCCGCUUCCUCCUUCCUCUGAGACCAGGAGGAGCCGAAACCCCCGCUACGAAGCCGCGCAGGGGCUGAGAGCACCCCACGGCUGCGCUAGGACGCGGGGAACCGAGCGGCAGCCCCAUCCCGGCACGCGACGGCAGCCGGACGGCGAUGCUAUACCGGCUCCGAGAAGCCCGAACGGUGCGCGGCGAGAGCCCGGCGGUCUCCUGCCGCGGAGAGCGGACAGCCCCGAACGGCUCCCGAGCGCCGGCCGCCUCCACGGUCCCGUUGCUACCUGUAUGGCUCAUCGGUUCGGGCUGACCUUCACCGGGAGACCUCUCGCUGCCGCCUGAAACACAACGAACAGAGAACUCGACGUAGAAUCCCAAGGUCGCGUUUUGAAAGCAGCCGUUCGCGGCCCCGUCCAGUCUCAGGGGAAUAAUGACCUGAUAACAGAAUUAAGCCCGCCCCAGCUCCCACCAGCGAGGUAUCCCUGGUGGCUCCCGGCGUCCUCCGGCGGAGCUUAAGAGGCUUUUGGGGCGGACCCGCCCCGGGCUGCGGACGAGGCGCAGCUGUGCGCGGGCGGCCCCGCGGCACCUGAGAGUCGUUGCCUUGUUAGCGCCGGCGGGGCUCGUUAGGGCCGGCCGGCGACCCUGACAGCUAGCCACGUGGGCACUAGAUCUGAGUUAGGAACUUAAACUGCGCUUCCGAUUGAAGUUUGUUACGCGCUUCUCUUCACCUCACUGUGGGAUUCGCUAAUAAGGCAAAUAAUUGUGCCCAAUUCAAACGGAUCACUUUGCAUCUCACGCGACACCCUUCCGAAGAACGUCCCCAGCCUUAAAGGAUUCCAGCGUCCUCCGCUGCGGGCCGUCUCCCCUCGAACUAACUAAAUAAAUAAAUAACGUAAAUAAAUAAAGAGAAAAGUUUAGAAAGGGAAAGGGGAAGAAAAUUUUGUAAAACCUGUAAAACCUGUAAAACCUUUGUACCUGGCGAAGAAAACAUGACUGAAGGCGGAGGUACAAUUGCGGAGUAGCGAUGUAACAAAUGCCCUGAUGAAGCACGUGAGAAAAUUGCCUACCGGUGAACUUUGAAGCAGAGCUUUACGAAGGGUUCUGUACGGUGUUCACGCAUGGCAUAAAUGGCUAGGAAUGCUUUUGGUGACGUCUAAGCUGUCUCCGGUUAAGGACACGGGUACUCGGUAAAGGCUUCAGUGAUGAAAUUCACCCUACAUAGCAGUUUCUUUUUUGAUUUGUAAUCCUGAAAGUUGGUCUGCGUGCAUUUUCACUUCUUAUGAUGGUAGAACUGUGAAUGUUUUGGUUGCACGCUGUUACGGAUACAUUUUUCACAGCCAUCGGCGGCGUCGGACGGGAAAAGAAGGAAGAGCCGAACACGUGGAGCAAGGCGAGAGAUCCUGCCGAGGGUACGCGAUGCGUUGCAACAUUCUCCGGGGGAAGAAGCGGUUUGGUGACGGCUCAUCUCACGGCCCGGCAAAAUCCUUACGUUGUCUUGAACGUUGUCAGGGAAUUGUUCCGGGAAGCAAAGAGCGUCGCAGUGCGCGGCUUACAUGUGUUCGUGUGAGCUGCUGCUUUACGAAUAGCGGUGUUUUUUAAUCAAUGCUGUGGGGAACUUCAUUCCAGGUGUUGAAGUAACCGAAGGACGGCGUGAAAGGACUUUGUAUUUCUUUGAGAGCGCGCUUCGCCGGACUCUCGGAAAACGCCGCGUGUCACUUAUCUGAUCAUCCGACGGGAAGAAGAGAGGAGGAUCUGAACUUUGAUUUACAGUUAGCUGCAUGCAAAGGAUGAUGUGAAAAGAGUCCCUCCGAGUCCGCAGUCGGAACGAGAAGGUCUCGGAUGAAACGUGGGCGUGAAACGCUCGCCAGAGCUGUUGCCCAAAGCUUCUUUUAAACUACUUAUAGUCCAAGCUUUUUCAUGAAAAAAGUUUGUAAUUCCAUACAAUAAACAGGAGAUGGUUUUGCAGUGGAUUACCUGAGUUGCAAGUAGUAUGUUUUGUUGGCCAUUAUAGGCUGCCGUUCUAAACCAUUACAACAAGCGCUUUUUCACUUCCAGUUUGCGUAGUUGUAAACUACGCCGAUCGGUUACUAGCGCAUACGACUCCUUAGCUUAUAAAUGAAUUAUUUACACGGGUCCUUUGCUUUGAGAACCUACUGUCUGCGAAUGGGCACGUCUGCUCAAAGGAAAGAGGUCCCAGGCUAUAGAAUCUGACCGAGAGGCCCAGAGUAGUUGCCGGUGGGUUCCUCUCGAACCUCUUUUCGCCUGCAAAUCACCGGGCGAUGUAAAGCCCCCGAAAGCUGUGGUGAAUAAAAUGGAAUGGGCAAACUAUCAAGAAGGUACAGAAGGGGACCUGCGGGCCUUCGUGCGCUAAUGUGGGAUGAAAAAGGCCAGAGAUGCGAUCAUACGGCAUCCUCCUUCAGCUUGCGCAGAUAGUCCCAUUCCAAGGAGAGCUGUGGAGGUCUGGGAUUCCCGCCGGAUUACAAGCCAGCUGCUUCACCCUGAACCAGAGCUACAAACCGAUCCUCGCUUUUUGUCUUCAGCGGUCAGCGGUCCGCCCCGACAGCGCAACGACAACACGCCGAAGGGGUCCGGACUCGUCUCGCGCAUGCGCACCUCUGUCUACGUGCCGUGCUACAGCAUCAGAUCAUUGUUUUCCUUUCUAUACGCACGCUUUAAUUGUGUGAUAUUGGCAAAGGAGAGUCGCAACCCUGGAUAUAUUCACUCAUUGCUUAAUGAUGCUUGCGUAAUUGGUGACAUAUGGGAUAUUAAUGAGGACUACGUGCAGUAUGCCGUUUGUCUAAUGAGAAAUGUAAAGUGCAUCCUUUUGUGGUAUGUCACGUGACCACUGAGAAGGCUGGAAUUAGUGAAAUUCCCAUGCGAUUGAGAGAAAGGCUCUGUCAUUUUGUAUUCAUAAAGGAAAAAUUUGAUUUGAAAAGCUUACGUCUCUUUUUGUGGAGGUACAAGAGUUAAGGACUCUGACAUGUACAUAGCGUUAGUCUACACAAGAGUUACUAAAAGUUCAGGAAUCGUUGUCUCACAGAGAGUGAAACCUCUGUGUGCGACCCGGGGAAAGUAUUCUCACGCCUAGUGACCAUUUUUCAAGGAUUUGGGGAUCUAAACCUACGAUCUACCCUGUUAUCCAUUUCCUCAACUCAUAUCAAACUGCACUCUUUUUCGGAUCGCGUCGAAGUUGCACAUUUUUUUUUUUUUUUUUUAAAGGAAAUCUUGCUAAGAAUGCUUUUCCUUUUUUCACCCCUCCUAGUAAUAGAUAUUGUUCUCUGGAUUGGGUUACCGUGGUAAGAUUUUGGAAGGAAGCAGAGCAGCAGAAGCAAUCUCGGUGAAAUAUUAGGGAAUGCCUGUGAUGAUUACAAUUGCUUUCAGAUCGCUCUGCGCCGGACUUAUCCCAGGGCCUAGAUGAUUUUGUUAGCAGAGCCGCUGGUGAAAGGGAACGUAAGAAGGGACGGAAAGAACUCAACAGGGAUACAACAGGAGUGAAAAGGAGAAGGAGAAACGUGAAGGUCGGAGAAGGAGGCGUUCCGUGGCGAAGCAGGCAACCCACGCACGCAUAACUUACUCGAGACGAGUUACUUCACCAAUGGGACCACUGCCCGCGCGGAUGAACCCCCGCUGAAGUAGGUAGGCCCCAGAGGGACGGCAGGCGACGGGUGCCCACUUUGGAGCAUGGGAGAAGAGUGAGAUGGAAGGAACAGUCGAGAGAAAACACAAUGUAAUCCUUCACUGUCUACUCCAUCACAGUGAAGGAUCUGAGUAUGACCUGUGGCGACAAAGGCGAGGUCCUUAGCGAGAAGGGAAUCCAGGGGAAGGGGGAAAAGGAAAGUUCUUUCCCAAAGCACGCUUUAUUAUUAUUAUUAAUAUUAUUCCCUACUACUCAGAUCAGUAACUAUUUAUUGUACUUGACUGUCAAUUAACUUUCCCAAGCCAAGUCUGUUUUUCUCACGACAGAACUGGUAAGCGAUCUCCUUGUUCUUUCAUUGCCCGGAGAUUUCUAGCUUCGGUUUCCAGCUUUGAGCUUUGCUCUAGUCGUGAUUGAAGCCGGUUCACUUUUAGGUAUCGCCGGAGAAAACGGAACCGCCCUUCUCGUCGUCCGUCUGUUCUAGAGCAAGUAGUAGGUUGCAGCUAAAGAGAUAGCCUUCAGUUCUUCUAACAUAGUUUGGACUAAUAGUUUGAGUUUGACUGUAGUUGUACAAAGAUUACAGCCGAGAAAUGAGAAACUAUUAUUUCCCAUCGCCGAGAGAAUCAGACAGUAAGCAUUCAGUAGCUGCAAAUACUUAUGCGCUUGCAAUUGACCUAGAAAUAAUUUCAAAGCAGAGCCAGCAAAUAUGACGUCCACGAUGACUGACAACCUCCCGUUGCGCAUCGGUGACGCGACCUACGUGUCAUUCAGUACUCGGCGUGGGCUUAAGUUGACAACAGAGAAGGUAAUUUAUUUUGCAUGUUUGCUUUGUGCAUUUUUUGUUUGUCGGAAUAUGUGUAUAGUCCUACCAGUUGUGGCGCUGUACUUCUGGCCGAGUUUGCGGUCUGUUUUUUAUUACUUGUUUGUUAGAACAUCAGUUAGAAAAAGUGUAUAACUCGGACAUGAAUUCAGCGAUGCGAUGACUGACUAACUCGAACACUUGGCUUUGCUGGGGACUUGAAAAUUGCCAGACGUACGGACGCAUUGCUGGUACAAGGAAUACUUUUCCAAAGCUGGAAAAAAAUUUUCAAAAGCAAACCCGUUCGAAAACCACAUCACCUGCUCCACUCAGGUGCCUGGAACAUCUCUGGAGACAGGCUCCAGAACAGCCCCCCGAGUAAAAAGUUCCUGCCUCCCUAUGCCUAACCUAAAUCUCCCCUCCCGUAGUUUAAAGCUAUUCCGUUUUCACCUGUCUCUAUCAGACUGUAGCAGAAAUGCUAAGUCAGGGCUAACCAGUGAUUGAGCAUCUGGGGGAAGGCGGGGCCAACCCAGGGGAGCUCAGGU
This is a long non-coding RNA of Gallus gallus (chicken), 10366 nucleotides long. RefSeq lists it as uncharacterized. The record is from RefSeq and is a predicted model, not a curated record. The transcript is spliced from 4 exons. Lineage: Eukaryota; Metazoa; Chordata; Aves; Galliformes; Phasianidae.